GGAAACUUAAUCUCUUAAAAUAGAGAUCACUUUUUGACAUUUUCUCCAGUGCUCUUUUGAUUUCUUAAUAUUCAUUUAGGAGACUGGACUUUCACAAUAAUUAAUCAGGAUGAAUAAGAUUCUUCUCCUUGGAUUUUCAGCUCUGUUCUGCUGGACUGUUGCCCAAGGCAUCAUGUGUAAAGUCUGUCUAGCUGGAAAUGAGAAAGGGUGCUAUUCUCCAGUUGGUGUUUGCAAGAGUGAUGUGGGACGAUGUUAUACGUAUGCAGCCUACUUUGGUGAUGAGCCUUAUUUCCUGACUUAUGAUUGUGUCAAUGAUAACUAUUGGUCCUUUUAUUGCAACAAUACUGAAAAGGAUGGAAAAUAUACACACAUCGAAGUUUGUUGUAGCAAAGAAAAGUGUAAUGGAGAACUCCCACCCCUGCCUCGAAGUUGGAAUUAA
Molecule: long non-coding RNA, 439 nt
Filed under: Anolis carolinensis (green anole)
Lineage: Eukaryota; Metazoa; Chordata; Lepidosauria; Squamata; Anolidae
Description: lncRNA (ENSACAG00000044051.1)
Source: RNAcentral